RNAcentral lists this ribosomal RNA (465 nucleotides) under uncultured bacterium. Its description in RNAcentral is "partial 16S ribosomal RNA". It matches the Rfam family "Bacterial small subunit ribosomal RNA", at positions 28 to 507 of the family's 1533-position model. The record is from RNAcentral.
GACGAACGCUGGCGGCGUGCUUAACACAUGCAAGUCGAACGGAAAGGCCCUGCUUGCAGGGUACUCGAGUGGCGAACGGGUGAGUAACACGUGGGUGAUCUGCCCUGCACUUCGGGAUAAGCCUGGGAAACUGGGUCUAAUACCGGAUAGGAGCCAUUUUUAGUGUGAUGGUUGGAAAGUUUUUUCGGUGUAGGAUGAGCUCGCGGCCUAUCAGCUUGUUGGUGGGGUAAUGGCCUACCAAGGCGGCGACGGGUAGCCGGCCUGAGAGGGUGGACGGCCACAUUGGGACUGAGAGACGGCCCAGACUCCUACGGGAGGCAGCAGUGGGGAAUAUUGCACAAUGGGCGCAAGCCUGAUGCAGCGACGCCGCGGGGGGGAUGACGGCCUUCGGGUUGUAAACUCCUUUCGCUAGGGACGAAGCUUUUUGUGACGGUACCUAGAUAAGAAGCACCGGCUAACUACGUG